This 30-nucleotide ribosomal RNA is filed under the name Imshaugia aleurites. RNAcentral describes it as "partial 5.8S ribosomal RNA". The record is from RNAcentral. Lineage: Eukaryota; Fungi; Ascomycota; Lecanoromycetes; Lecanorales; Parmeliaceae.
NACAACGGAUCUCUUGGUUCCAGCAUCGAU